This 274-nucleotide ribosomal RNA is filed under the name uncultured bacterium. RNAcentral's name for it is "partial 16S ribosomal RNA". It matches the Rfam family "Bacterial small subunit ribosomal RNA", at positions 523 to 796 of the family's 1533-position model. The record is from RNAcentral.
AUACGGAGGGUGCAAGCGUUACUCGGAAUCACUGGGCGUAAAGCGCGCGCAGGCGGCUUGAUAAGUUGGAUGUGAAAGCCUACGGCUCAACCGUAUAACUGCAUCCAAAACUGUCAAGCUAGAGUCUGGGAGGGGAAGAUGGAAUUAGUUGUGUAGGGGUAAAAUCCGUAGAGAUAACUAGGAAUACCAAAAGCGAAGGCGAUCUUCUGGAACAGUACUGACGCUGAGGCGCGAGAGCGUGGGGAGCAAACAGGAUUAGAAACCCCGGUAGUCC